CCUGACCUCGUGAUCCACCCACCUUGGCCUCCCAAUCAAAAUAUUUUUGUGAUGCUCCAGCAGUAGAGCUUCACUAAUAUGAACCAUAUCUACUUCGGCAAUUUCUAACAUUCAGUGCAACCUAACAUUUGUUGUGAGCUCACAAUACGUUGGAUACUAAGCCGACUUUGCAAGGGAUUGAAAGAUAAACAAGACAUGGAAGUUCACAGACUGGUAGAGAAGACAUCAUGCCAGCAACAAUGUGACAAAUGCUAUCACUGAGAUAUGUACAAGGUUUGUAUGGGAACCUAGAGGAGGGACAGAGAAGAUUUUCUUGGGGACCUAGAGGAGGGAACUUAUAGACUAGGUCUACAGGAGUUAUAGAAGAUUUAAGAAAAAAGGAAAAGUUCAAGAAUGAGAAACACUACCAAAAAUUCAGUAUUAGUGUUACAAUAACUCUGGCAGAGAAAACGUGAAGUCCUCUGAUGAGCCAAUGGCGAGAAGGAAGGUUCCUACUCUAACGGCGAUCUGUAAUUCUGUCAAGAAGAGAUCCAGUUCUCUUCAAGCUGGUUCCCAAUGGAACAGUUGGUGUAGCAAUGGCAAAUGCUUCUGUGGUCAUCCUUGGGGAAACUACCCACUUCUAACCAAAUUGGAAAAUGAAUAAAUGGAAAGUGAAGAUGUACAGUGAAGUUCAGCUUAUCACUACUGAGACAGACAGAAUUAAAAAGGGAAAGGUAGACUGAGAAUUAGGAAGAGAGAGAUGCAAAAAUUGAACAAAAGUUUGAGAAACAGAGCAGAGGUUCAAAUGGAAAUAGAGAUUCCAGAUCUCUCCCAUUUCUUCAGGAAUAAAUACUGCCCUGUAACCACUGGACAUUAAAUAUUUACCUACCAUAUGAAUUUGCUCUUAAGGUGCUACUCAUAUCCUACCUAUCUUUCAAUUUAGCAAGAAUGGGUAAUUCCGUUUUUUUUU
This 949-nucleotide long non-coding RNA is filed under the name Homo sapiens (human). Its description in RNAcentral is "HSALNT0298770". The record is from RNAcentral. Lineage: Eukaryota; Metazoa; Chordata; Mammalia; Primates; Hominidae.